Long non-coding RNA from Odontomachus brunneus, 1566 nucleotides. RefSeq lists it as uncharacterized. Lineage: Eukaryota; Metazoa; Arthropoda; Insecta; Hymenoptera; Formicidae. The transcript is spliced from 2 exons. The record is from RefSeq and is a predicted model, not a curated record.
CGUCUAUAUGUUGAUCGAGAUCAAAAUUAAUCUCAGGACAUUUCAAAAGCACGUUUCUGUUUGUGACGAACGUAUCAUUCACGUUGAAACUAGUGGGAACGUUUGUAACUUUUCGAGAAACGCGUUGUUCGUCCAGAUGUAUACCGAUGCUAAACUGACUAACGACAGUAGAGUGGAGAACGCAAUGGAGCCAUUCGUGUACAAAUCCUGAGUAAAAAGUGAAUUAUUGAGCAGUAAAAGUUGCGCGUAAAAUCUGUGCACAAUCCCUACACUACCUCUGUAUGUAGCAAACGAUUGUCGCCGUUGAUUUUGGGCAAUUUAUUUGCAUCGAGUACUUCCGAAUUCGAGAUUAUCUUCGAAAUAAGCUUGUAUAAGCACCUACAGGAUUCUUCCAAUUCGUUUAAUUUCUCACUCCCGCCACGUAUAUAUUGGAGGUUCUUUGAUAUAUUUCUUUUCCAUACUGCAAUGUUAGAAAUAACAUUGUGUAAUGUACAAAUAAUUAUGUGUGUGUGUGUGUGUGUGUGUGUAAAUAUAUAUACGAAGUGUCUGGCGAUUCAUGAUACAUCCAUCGUGUGCAGAUAGAACUCGUCAAACUAAACAUAUAAUUUCUCUGCCAUUUCGCAAACAACCAUAUAAAAUUCUGAGUUAUUAGUUAAAGAUAAAUGAUUACGAUAUAAUAGAUGAGUUAUGAUGGUGACGCUACUGAUUGUAAAUAUGUACGAUUGUAGAUUGUACAUCUGUUGUUUGUAGAUAUGAAGUCAAAUUGAACAAUAAAAUCCUAUUAUUUUGCAGAUGAUCACGUAAUUUUUUUAUUAUUAAUUAAAGAAAAUUAGUGCAUGAUUAUGCAUGUAACAAUCUUCUUAAUAACACAAAAUUUACAUGGUUAUUUGCAAAAUGGUAGAAAACCCUUUUGUUCAGACCUAAUAUCCUACCUGCACACAAUAUGCAGGUCAUGAAUUGUCAAAUUAGGCUGUAUACAUAUUAUAUAAUAAUUUGAGACUACAGUAUACAUAUUAUAUAAUAAUAGACUACAGUAUACAUAUUAUAUAAUAAUAGACUACAGUAUACAUAUUAUAUAAUAAUUUGAGACUACAGUGAGAAAUUAUAUAGAAUAAAAUAUAAAUAUAUAAUGUUGUUCACAAAGAGAACACCAACUGUUUAUAAUGUUUGAAUCUUCAACAUCUAGCAACUGUUUUUGAACCAAUGGAUGAACCAACAUAUCAGAUACCAUCUUCUUUAUAUUCUGUGUUCUAUCAAAAAUUUCUGCUUUAUAUAUAUUCUGUGAUUCCAUUUCGUUCCUAAGAUACAUGAUAGGAUUAUAAGAAAACUAUGUCACUAUUUACUAUGUAAGCAAACAUGAUUCCCAGGAUUUACUUGAGUAAGUUACUUGUAGUAUCCAGAAUUCUCUUUGCUUCUCUGUGCAUUUCUUUCGCAGCUUUGCAUCUUUCAGCAAUUACGCUGUUGAAGUAUGCAAUAGUCAAAUCAUCCACUGGGCUUGUACGUGGUGCACUCAACAAUUCACCUUGAACUAAAGAAUAUAUUUAAAAUAAAUGAUGAUGGAAGGAA